RNAcentral lists this non-coding RNA (30 nucleotides) under Rattus norvegicus (Norway rat). The record is from RNAcentral. Lineage: Eukaryota; Metazoa; Chordata; Mammalia; Rodentia; Muridae.
GAAUAGGCCUGACCUAGAUUGUGAAGUCUU